UACACUCCUACGGGAGGCAGCAGUGGGGAAUAUUGGACAAUGGGCGCAAGCCUGAUCCAGCCAUGCCGCGUGAGUGAUGAAGGCCCUAGGGUUGUAAAGCUCUUUCACCGGUGAAGAUAAUGACGGUAACCGGAGAAGAAGCCCCGGCUAACUUCGUGCCAGCAGCCGCGGUAAUACGAAGGGGGCUAGCGUUGUUCGGAUUUACUGGGCGUAAAGCGCACGUAGGCGGACUAUUAAGUCAGGGGUGAAAUCCCGGGGCUCAACCCCGGAACUGCCUUUGAUACUGGUAGUCUUGAGUUCGAGAGAGGUGAGUGGAAUUCCGAGUGUAGAGGUGAAAUUCGUAGAUAUUCGGAGGAACACCAGUGGCGAAGGCGGCUCACUGGCUCGAUACUGACGCUGAGGUGCGAAAGCGUGGGGAGCAAACAGGAUUAGAUACCCUUGUAGUCCCAU
Molecule: ribosomal RNA, 450 nt
Filed under: uncultured organism
Description: partial 16S ribosomal RNA
Rfam family: Bacterial small subunit ribosomal RNA
Source: RNAcentral